Molecule: ribosomal RNA, 253 nt
Filed under: uncultured bacterium
Lineage: Bacteria
Description: partial 16S ribosomal RNA
Rfam family: Bacterial small subunit ribosomal RNA
Source: RNAcentral
UACGAAGGGGGCUAGCGUUGCUCGGAAUUACUGGGCGUAAAGAGCUCGUAGGCGGCUUGUCACGUCGUUUGUGAAAGCCCGAGGCUUAACCUCGGGUCUGCAGUCGAUACGGGCUAGCUAGAGUGUGGUAGGGGAGAUCGGAAUUCCUGGUGUAGCGGUGAAAUGCGCAGAUAUCAGGAGGAACACCGGUGGCGAAGGCGGAUCUCUGGGCCAUUACUGACGCUGAGGAGCGAAAGCGUGGGGAGCGAACAGG